GUGCUUGCUUUGAAAGCACAUAUACUAAAAUUGGAAUAAUACAGAGAAGACUAGCAUGGCCCCUACACAAGGAUGGCAUGCAAAU
This 85-nucleotide small nuclear RNA is filed under the name Jaculus jaculus (lesser Egyptian jerboa). The record is from RNAcentral. Lineage: Eukaryota; Metazoa; Chordata; Mammalia; Rodentia; Dipodidae.